GAUGAAGAACGUAGCGAAAUGCGAUAAGUAAUGUGAAUUGCAGAAUUCAGUGAAUCAUCGAAUCUUUGAACGCACAUUGCGCCCGCCAGUAUUCUGGCGGGCAUGCCUGUUCGAGCGUCAUUUCAACCCUCAAGCCCAGCUUGGUGUUGGGGAUCGGCACAGGCGCCCUCGGGCGCCCGCCGUCCCCUAAAUCUAGUGGCGGUCCCGCUGCAGCCUCCUCUGCGUAGUAGUUUUCUCCUCGCAAGGGCAGCUCGGUGGCGACCUCGCCGUAAAACCCCCAACUUCUGAAAGGUUGACCUCGAGUCAGGUAGGAAUACCCGCUGAACUUAAGCAUAUCAAUAAGCGGAGGA
Molecule: unclassified non-coding RNA, 350 nt
Filed under: soil metagenome
Description: partial contains 5.8S ribosomal RNA, internal transcribed spacer 2, and large subunit ribosomal RNA
Rfam family: 5.8S ribosomal RNA (bases 1-120)
Source: RNAcentral